RNAcentral lists this ribosomal RNA (493 nucleotides) under uncultured bacterium. RNAcentral describes it as "bacterial SSU rRNA". It matches the Rfam family "Bacterial small subunit ribosomal RNA", at positions 30 to 517 of the family's 1533-position model. The record is from RNAcentral.
AUUGAACGCUGGCGGCAUGCCUUACACAUGCAAGUCGAACGGCAGCACGGGAGCAAUCCUGGUGGCGAGUGGCGAACGGGUGAGUAAUAUAUCGGAACGUGCCCAGUCGUGGGGGAUAACGUAGCGAAAGCUACGCUAAUACCGCAUACGAUCUACGGAUGAAAGCGGGGGAUCGCAAGACCUCGCGCGAUUGGAGCGGCCGAUAUCAGAUUAGCUAGUUGGUGGGGUAAAAGCUCACCAAGGCGACGAUCUGUAGCUGGUCUGAGAGGACGACCAGCCACACUGGAACUGAGACACGGUCCAGACUCCUACGGGAGGCAGCAGUGGGGAAUUUUGGACAAUGGGCGAAAGCCUGAUCCAGCCAUGCCGCGUGCAGGAUGAAGGCCUUCGGGUUGUAAACUGCUUUUGUACGGAACGAAAGACUCUUUCUAAUAAAGAGGGUCCAUGACGGUACCGUAAGAAUAAGCACCGGCUAACUACGUGCCAGCAGCCG